Molecule: ribosomal RNA, 422 nt
Filed under: uncultured bacterium
Lineage: Bacteria
Description: bacterial SSU rRNA
Rfam family: Bacterial small subunit ribosomal RNA
Source: RNAcentral
UAAGGAAUAUUGGUCAAUGGACGCAAGGGUGACCCAGCAACGCCGCGUGGAGGAUGAAUGUCGUAAGAUUGUAAACUCCUGUUAGAGGGGAAGAAUAGUACCGGUUGGACCGGUAUAUGACUGUACCCUCAGAGAAAGCCCCGGCUAACUACGUGCCAGCAGCCGCGGUAAUACGUAGGGGGCAAGCGUUGUCCGGAUUUACUGGGUGUAAAGGGCGCGCAGGCGGGAUAAAAAGUCAGUGGUGAAAUCCUACAGCUUAACUGUAGAACUGCCUUUGAUACUUUUAUUCUUGAGUUCGGGAGAGAGAGACGGAAUUCCAGGUGUAGUGGUGAAAUACGUAGAUAUCUGGAAGAACACCAGUUGCGAAGGCGGUCUCUUGGUCCGACACUGACGCUGAGGCGCGAAAGCGUGGGGAGCAAACA